GUGUGGGGACGCUCUGCUCAGCUUUGGGGCCACAGACGGCAGGACGCCAUCAUGUCCACCAUGGCCUGGUCCCCUCUGCUCCUCACCCUGGUUGCUCUCUGCACAGGAUCCUGGGCCCAGGCUGUGCUGACUCAGCCAUCCUCCGUGUCCAAGUCCCUGGGCCAGAGUGUCUCCAUCACCUGCUCUGGAAGCAGCAGCAACGUUGGA
Molecule: non-coding RNA, 207 nt
Organism: Capra hircus (goat)
Lineage: Eukaryota; Metazoa; Chordata; Mammalia; Artiodactyla; Bovidae
Source: the annotation of a RefSeq genome assembly